UGGGGAAUAUUGGGCAAUGGGCGAAAGCCUGACCCAGCGACGCCGCGUGAGGGAAGAAGGUCUUCGGAUUGUAACCUCUUUCAGCAGGGAAGAAGAAAGUGACGGUACCUGCAGAAGAAGUCACGGCUAACUACGUGCCAGCAGCCGCGGUAAUACGUAGGUGGCAAACGUUAUCCGGAAUUACUGGGUGUAAAGGGUGUGUAGGCGGGAAUGCAAGUCAGACGUGAAAACUUAAGGCUCAACCUUAAGCCUGCGUUUGAAACUGUGUUUCUUGAGAGUGGGAGAGGUAAACGGAAUUCCUGGUGUAGUAGUGAAAUGCGUAGAUAUCAGGAGGAACACCGGUGGCGAAGGCGGUUUACUGGACCACAACUGACGCUGAGACACGAAAGCGUGGGGAGCAAACAGGAUUAGAUACCCUGGUAGU
Molecule: ribosomal RNA, 424 nt
Filed under: uncultured Oscillospiraceae bacterium
Lineage: Bacteria; Bacillati; Bacillota; Clostridia; Eubacteriales; Oscillospiraceae
Description: bacterial SSU rRNA
Rfam family: Bacterial small subunit ribosomal RNA
Source: RNAcentral